AUCCCGGGGGCGCUUGGCUGGGCCGGCGCGAAGACUGUAUCCUGCCUUCUCAGUGCAAUGCCCGGCACCUAGGCCGAGUUCACGUGCGGGUUGUCGCGUUUCCAAUACCCCUGACGUUGUCUUCUCAGUGGUCGUUGGGUCUAGAAGUCACUCCUCUGGAGGUGAUAGACUAGGAGAAGCCGCCAGCCAGCAGCAUCACUGGCUGGCUGGGAGUUCCACCUCUUCCUUCCUUAAGACCUCAGUAAAUGGACAGCCACGGAUGGUAAGUAGUCCACCUUCUAAGGUUCUCCACUCUAAGCCCUUCGUAUCCCUCAGAAGUCCAGCAUAAGGAGCAUGGUUUAGUAUUUGAUCUUCUGGGAUGUUUCUCUCAUCGAGAAAGAAACUUGAGGGAGAAGGGGAAGGGAGGAUGCAUGUGGUACCCAGAAACGGUCCACUCGGUUAUCGUCCUGCCUUUACUGGCCUCGAGGCCAGACCUGGUCGUCAUUAGCUCCAGAAGCCUAUAAGGUUGAGAAGGCCCAACAGAAAUCUCUUGAUGGAAAUCUCUUGAUGGAAGUGGCCCAUCCAACACCGGGCUUGCGUGGGGCUGCCAGGCACAAGUGAGCAUCAUGAGCGGGUGGCCAGGCUCCCCGGUCAUCCGCCUGUCUUGCACCAGUGCCUCUCCCUCAUCUCCCACCUGUGGGCCACACAGAGGGGCAUCCCUGUGCCCAGCUGAUGGGAGGGGGAAAAGCCUGAGCUAAGGCUGUACAAAAACCAGCUUGGGACAUGGAAGAGCAUGGACCACUGUGAAUGGAGGUAUGAGGUGAGAGUGGACACAAGGCAUCUGUCCGGAUUGUGAUGAUGCCUCUGCCUGGCGGGGAGGGCUUGGAGUCGGGGAAUAGGGAGAGCUUUGGCCUGAAGGGCACCCUGGGGCUGGGGCAGACCCAGGUGGAGACAGGCCACAAGCAUCUUUUGAGGGCCCUCGUGGUGCAGGGCCCUGUGUUAGAGGCUCUGCUAGUCUUAUUUCACACAUCUUUGUGGACUCAGCUCUGCGAUCAUUAAUUAUGUGUGUAAUUCCUGCCUCAGCAUCUGUCUACUCUGGCAGGGAAUGAACUCCAAGGGCCCAGGGAGCUUGCCAGUCUUGUGCAUUGAUAUUCCCCCGGGCCUAGACUAGGGCCCAGAAUGUAGUUACACACAGCAAACACUCAUUGAUGGAAAGAAAAAGUGAUUUCAUUCAGCAGACAUGCUCCCAGGCCUGGGCUUUAUUUGAGGAGCUACUUGAAAGCAGUUUGGGGGAAGAUCAAGCAUUUGAUUGAGAGCCAGGGGUUUGGGAGAGAGAAUAAAGAUGAGGUCUGGGAGUUCCCGUUGUGGCUUAGCAGGUUAAGAACCCAAAAUAGUGUCUGUGAGGAUGCGGGUUCAAUCCGUGGUCUUGCUCAAUGGGUUAAGGCUUCAUCGUUGCUGCAGGCUGCAGCAUAGGUUGCAGAUGCUGCUCGGAUCUGGCGUUGCUGUGGUUGUUGUAUAGGCCAGCAGCUGCAUCCCUGAGUCAACCCCUAGCUCAGGAACUUUGAUAUGCUACACAUGUGGCUGUAAAAAGGAAAAAGAAAAAAAAGGUGGUUUCUGAUUAGGGACCUGGGAGUUUGCCCUGGAGAAGCUCUAAAAAUCCAGGCUGUGGACUGGGUUUUACCCUGAGCUUCAAAACCUAUUAGCAUUCACUGGCUGUGUGAUCUGGGCACAUUACUUAACCUCUCUGUGCCUCAGCUACUUCCUCUGUACGGCACUAGUGAUACCUAGUUUAGGCUGUUGAAAAGUUUAAAGGACUUAAUGAAACACCAAUGUACUGAAUUGAUAAACAACAAGUAGUAUUAUUGCACAAGUUCAGACCAGAAUGAUAUGAAAUAGAAGGAAGAGAUGCAGAUGAGGGGCUCUGUGAAAAAACAUGUGAAAACAAACAAACAAAAAAAACAUGUUGCAUUUGAGGCUGCUUGGAAAUAGGGUUCGAAGUGGAGGGUGUGAAGCACCAGUGGGCACCUGGUGCUUUCACUUGGCCUUGGUGGGAAGGACAGUCAGCUCUGGGCCGCAAUACCAGUGUCAGAGGCAGGCACAGAAGUCAGAGGACAUGCGGAAAAGAGGCCAGAAUCACCCAGGGAAUCUAGAACCAGCUCCUCAGUCGUGGAAUUUGACAUGUCACGUCCUAUACAACUAUGUGGGUUUUCAGCCUCUUUUCCCUAAAUGGGGAUUUUGUUGGCAAGGGAAUGCCUGCUAACCCCCUAAGAUUUUUGUUACAUUUUGGUUAAGAAGUCCAGAAGACUUUGGACUUGGCUUUGAAAAAUGGAAAGCGAAUUGAAUUUGCGUUACUUAAGUGGCUUAUUCAGAUGAACAGGAUCUCUUCGAUUUAGAAUUUCCAAGACUCAAGAUUUGAUAUUUCAGCAGCAACAAUGACAUCUAGGGGUUGGUUUUUACGGGUUUUAUCUUAGAUACGUGUCCUCUGUGUUUUGAAAAACGGGGGUGCUCACACAAUGAUUUGAUCUAAAAUGUCUGGACCCUGUGAAGUCGGUCGGUGGCUUAGGCAACACCGAUGGAUCAAAGAAAGGAAAAACCUAGAACAGACUUCUGGUGUCGUCUAAGAAAGUGACUUUCCUUCUAAAAUUGCAGGACCUCUCAGUUUGCUGAAUAUACUGGUUUUCCUCCUGACCUUUUAACCAGUGAUGUGACGUCCUUCUCAGCUCUCCUGUUUGAGCCUUGACCACUCUUCCUGUGGGUGAUAGCACCACCUUCCUUGCACGGAGAGGGGCUGGGACCACGGGUUAAGCUUCUUCCAGUUGAUUUCAUUCCUUAAAGAGCCAGUGGAGGGAGUCUUGGGAUUGUUCACCUCUUCUCUAUUGUAUGUUUUUACUAGAUUCUUCUAAAUGGACCCUUCUCUUGACUUUAUGGCUUUGACUGUCAGACUCAGAGGGUGCUUUUGGUUUGCUGUCAGAGAGUCAUGCAACUAACAGUGUUGAUUGAGUACCUUGCGGGUACAGUCUUUUGUGCGUGUGUGAUGGAGUUCAGGUAGGAGUGAGAGGGGCCCAAAAGGCAAUACACCUGGGUUGAGUCAACAAAAAAACAGUUUCUUUAGAGGACAUCAAACAUAUGUUUUUUUAAAAAUCACAUAAUUUUUUUCUUUUUGCUUUUUAGAGCCACACGUGGAAGUUCCCAGGCUGGGGGUUGAAUCAGAGCUGCACCUGCAAGGGAUCUGAACUGAGUCUGCAACCUACACCACAGCUCAUGGCAAUGCUGGAUCCUUAACUCACUGAGUGAGGCCAGGGAUCAAACCCACAUCCUCAUGGAUACUAGUCAGGUUCGUAACCUGCUGAACCACAACGGGAACUCCCGAAACAUACAUGUUAAUAGGAAAUAAAUUAUGCAUGGAAAUGUCUCCUGGAAAAAUUCACAAAUAUUCAGAUGAUGUUUAAGGUUCCUCUCAGCAUGAAAAUUCUGUGAUUUUUGUGCAGAUUAAAAUUAGUACCCUGUUAGACUGGUGCAUAAUAAGGUUGGUAGCAGCACAGGAAUUAUAGGUUUUUGUUUUUUUUUUUUUAAUGUUCAAAUGAAAGCAAUGCAAAAUAGGGCCCAUCUCCAUGGGUAAGUAUGAGUUGACCCUCAGUGUUAUCAAACUGAGAAGCUCCCUUCUGGUUUGCAGAACUGUGUGGAGUGAGCUCAGGGUGGGGAGAUGUGGCCCAAGGGUGCCACUCUGGAAACAUACACCCUGAUCGCUUAAUUUCCUGAUUAUCUUAAAAAGGGCCAGGAAGUCGUUUUGUUUCAACAUCUUGCUGUUGACCUUUCCUUCUUUGCUCUUAGCAUGUUUGUCCAGUUUCCUGCCACAGCAGAGUGUAUAGAACUGAUGUAUCACCAGUUUGUCAGUUUCACCUCCCAACUCGUCCUUGACUCUCCCUUCCUGAUGGUGCCUAAAAGUCUCCACCAGCUGCUUCUGCUGCUGCUUUUUCAAAAUCCAAACUUUGGUUUCCUUUUUUUCUUGGCAGUGGGGGCACCCCCAGGGCGGGGAUUGAACCCAUGCCCCAGCAGCGAUCCGAGGCACAGCAGUGACAAUGCCAGAUCCUUAACCUGCUGCACCACCAGGGAGCUCCUCCACCAGACCUUUAUCCAGUCUUUGGGGUCUUGCCUGAUGCCCCUGGCCACUGCCCAGCCUCAGCCCCAUCACUCCUGCCCAUUCUCAGGGGUGCUUUUUGGUUUUCCAGCCGCACCACGCUUGAUGUCCUCCUACCUCUUCCCGCUCCUCUUCAUGUGGUUAUCGCUUCCUCUUCCUCAGCUCUCAGCAAAGAGCCAUUUUCUCAGGGCGGCCUUCACUGACUUUCAUGACCAGGUUUAAUCCCUUUACCCUCUUUCAGAGCCGCGUUCUCUUAGCAUGCACUGGCUGACCGUCACAGCUCCGACCAUUGCCACGGUUUAUCUGUGCGGUUAUUGCAUUCACGUCCUUCACCCCCUCCCCCUGUAAACAGCAGAUUCUGCGAUGUCAGCCAGUGUGUUGUAUUAGCGCGGUGCCUGCCACUAGUAGAUGCCAAUGAAGAAACAAGGAAUGAAUGCCUGAAUAAUGAAUAUAGUAGCAUUUGUCUUAGGUGCUUGAGAUUCUUGGUGGUUUUUUUUUUUUGUUUUUUUUUUUUUUUUUUUGCGUUUUUAGGGCCACACUUGUGGCAUAUGGAAGUUCCCAGGUUAGGGGUUGAAUCCGAGCUACAGCUGCCAAACUGCACCACAGCUCAUAGCAACACCAGAUCCCCAACCCACCGAGGGAGGCCAGGGUUUGAACCUACAUCCUUCUGGGUCCUAGUCGGGUUUGUCAACUGCUGAGCCACGAAGGGAACUCUGAGAUUCUUAGUUUUUUAUUUAUUAUUAAAAAAAUUUUUUUAGUAUAGAUUUACAAUGUUCUGUCAAUUUCUGCUGUACAGCAAAGGGACCCAGUCAUACAUAUAUACCUUCUUUUUCUCUAUCCUCCAUCAUGUUCCAUCACAAGGAAUUGGAUAUAGUUCCCUGUGCUAUACAACAGGAUCUCAUUGUUUAUCUGCACCAAAUGCACUAGUUUGCAUCUACUAAGUCCAUCCCAGUCCAUCCCACUCCCUCCCCCAUCCCCUUGGAAACCACAAGUCUGUUCUCCAUGUCUCUGAGUUUUGUUUCUUCUCUAUAGAUAGGUUCAUUUGUACCAUAUAUUAGAUGCCAGAGAUUCUUGUAGUGCUUCAGAUUCAUCAACCCUGUAUCACAUCACUCCAAUUUAGUCCAUUCGGGCUGCCAUCACAGAAAACCAGCGACUGGGGACUGAUUUAAAAAAAAAAAAAAAAAAAAAAAAACAAAAAACUGGAGUUCCUGCUGUGGUGCAACAGGAUCAGUGACAUCUCUAGAGUGAUGUGACUCAGGUUCAGUCCCCAGCCCAGCACAGUGGCUCAAAGAUCUGGUGUGGCUGCAACUGCUGUGCAGGUCGAAACUGCAGCUGGGAUCUGAUCCCUGGCCUGGAAACCCCAUAUGCUGUGGAGCAGCCAAAAAAGAAAAAAAAAAUUUUUUUUUCUUACUGUUCUGGAGGCUGGGAGGUCCGAGAUCAAGAUGCCAGCAGCGUUGGUGUACCGUGAUGGCCUGCUUCCUGAUUCAUGGACCUCCAUUGUCUUGCUGUGUCCUCACAUGGCAGACAGGUUGAGGGAGCUCUCUGGGGUCUGUCUUAUAAGGCCAAUGAUUCCAUGCAUGAAGAUUCCACUCACAUGAUCUCAGUACCUCCCAGGAAUCCCACCUCCCCCAUUAAUCACACUGGGGAUAGGUUUCAAUAUAUGGAUGUUGGGGGAACACAGCAUUCAGCCUAUAGCACUCCGCUUGCUUGUGUGAAAUAGAGAACUGCUUGAUAGACGAGAUGGGUUAAAUAUGUGUGGGUUCUAAGACCCGCUGAGGAAAAUUUGAAUUAAAAGUACUCCACAUCACUGCGUCUCAGUGCUGAGUAUAGACAAUCCCAGAUGGAGUUCCCGUCAUGGCGCAGUGGUUAACGAAUCUGACUAGGAACCAUGAGGUUGCAGGUUCGAUCCCUGGCCUUGCUCAGUGGGUUAAGGACCUGGUGUUGCUGUGAGCUGUGGUGUCGGUCACAGACGUGGCUGGGAUCCUGCGUUGCUCUGGCUCAGGUGUAGGCCAGGGCUACAGCUCUGAUUGAACCCCUAGCCUGGGAACCUCCAUAUGCUGUGGGAGCGGCCCUAGAAAAGGCAAAAAGACAAAUAAAAAAAAAAA
Molecule: long non-coding RNA, 6222 nt
Filed under: Sus scrofa (pig)
Lineage: Eukaryota; Metazoa; Chordata; Mammalia; Artiodactyla; Suidae
Description: lncRNA (ENSSSCG00060073440.1)
Source: RNAcentral